RNAcentral lists this small RNA (46 nucleotides) under Planctomycetaceae bacterium SCGC AG-212-F19. Its description in RNAcentral is "Acido-Lenti-1 RNA". It matches the Rfam family "Acido-Lenti-1 RNA". Lineage: Bacteria; Pseudomonadati; Planctomycetota; Planctomycetia; Planctomycetales; Planctomycetaceae. The record is from Rfam by way of RNAcentral.
CCCAGCAAUGAAUUGCUGGGCUAUUAUCAAGUGCCCCGCCGGGGCA